RNAcentral lists this unclassified non-coding RNA (239 nucleotides) under Hevea brasiliensis (rubber tree). The record is from RNAcentral. Lineage: Eukaryota; Viridiplantae; Streptophyta; Magnoliopsida; Malpighiales; Euphorbiaceae.
ACCAAUCUAAGAGGACUCGAAAGAGACCGUUGCAAAUCAAUAGCUCCGUACGGCCGCCGGAGGACGAUACAAUCGACAAUCAUUUCGGUGCUCCGAGAUCGCCAAUAUGGGGCACAGAAGGCGUUUGAUACUGGCAAUUUUUAUUGUUUUUCUAUUCGCUUUCUCUUCUGGAAGAGAGCUUAAGGUCACGCACAAGCAUAUAGAUCAUCGCCCCAUUUACAAUCACACUCUUGCAACAA